UAUGACAACAGAACUUCAACGAUGACUUUCAUCAUGAGCUUUGUGUGGAUACUGACUUUCUUAAUUCAGGAAUCCAGAGGACAGGUCACUGUGACUCAGACUCCUACAGUGAAAACUGUUCUCCAAGGACUGCCAGUUAUUAUAAACUGUAAAACCAGUGCAAAUGUAGCAGAUGAAUGUCGUGGUGAUUACACCUGUAUGGCCUGGUACCAACAGAAACCUGGAGGAGCUCCUAAACUCCUAAUAUACUGGGCUACAACACUUCAGUCUGGGACUCCAUCUAGAUUCAGUGGAAGUGGAUCUCAUAGUGUCAUGGAAAAUCAUGACUUCACUCUGACCAUCAGUGAAGUCCAGGCUGAAGAUGCAGGAGAUUACUACUGUCAGAGUUACCACAGUGGUCCAGUGUUCACACAGUGA
This is a non-coding RNA of Salvelinus fontinalis (brook trout), 417 nucleotides long. The record is from the annotation of a RefSeq genome assembly. NCBI's taxonomy places the organism in Eukaryota, Metazoa, Chordata, Actinopteri, Salmoniformes, Salmonidae.